CUGGAUUCGCUAGUAAUCGCGCAUCAGCCACGGCGCGGUGAAUACGUUCCCGGGCCUUGUACACACCGCCCGUCAAGCCAUGGAAGCCGGGAGUGCCUGAAGUGUGCAACCGCAAGGAGCGCCCUAAGGUAAAACCGGUGACUGGGCUAAGUCGUAACAAGGUAAC
RNAcentral lists this ribosomal RNA (166 nucleotides) under uncultured bacterium. RNAcentral describes it as "partial 16S ribosomal RNA". It matches the Rfam family "Bacterial small subunit ribosomal RNA", at positions 1326 to 1500 of the family's 1533-position model. The record is from RNAcentral.